Podarcis lilfordi (Lilford's wall lizard) is the source of this 79-nucleotide non-coding RNA. NCBI's taxonomy places the organism in Eukaryota, Metazoa, Chordata, Lepidosauria, Squamata, Lacertidae. The record is from the annotation of a GenBank genome assembly.
GCCUGCAGGAUAGCUCAGUGGGUAGAGCAUGGAUAGACUCUGAACCUCAGGGUCGUGGGUUGGAGCCCCAUGUUGGGCA